RNAcentral lists this long non-coding RNA (972 nucleotides) under Manihot esculenta (cassava). RNAcentral's name for it is "long non-coding RNA (MESC_LNC013112)". Lineage: Eukaryota; Viridiplantae; Streptophyta; Magnoliopsida; Malpighiales; Euphorbiaceae. The record is from RNAcentral.
CUCCAGAGGUUCAGAGCCUGCAGAGUCAGUCAGUCCAGAUAGCCAGAGGUGAGUAGAACUAAACUGAUGACUUUUAAUUGAACCAUAAACUGCUUUUAGCAUAUCUCAUGCAUCAUGUUUAUGCCAUAGGUUGAUUGCAUUAGUAUUCACGAAUAUGUUGCAUUGCAUCGUUAUUUGGUGAUGUGAGUGAAUGCUGAAUGAUCCAAUAGUCUCAGACAGGAAGUCCAGGAGCCUUAGUCUCAGACAGGAAGUCCAGGAGCCUUUGACUACGCCCUGGCAGGUAUAGUGAAGUCCAGGAGCCUUUGACUACGCCCUGGCAGGUAUAGCAAAGUCCAGGAGCCUUUGACUACGCCCUGGCAAUGGUAAGUACAGAGGUGUUAUAUACACAUAUACAUAUAUGACAGGAAGACCAGGUGCUCGAUUCUACGCCCUGGCACAGAGUUACUGGGACUAUGUGGUGACAGGUUUACUCUUGAUGUGGCUUGUCUGUGAUAUGGUGCAUUCCAUGAGGUCAUAUUUUCCUGAGAUGUUUUACUGUUCUACUCACUGGGCUAUAGAGCUCAUCCCACUCCCUUAACCCCAGUUUUGCAGAUUCAGUGUACAGUGUACAGGGACAGUCCAGCAGAGUACAGGAAGAGUGAAGAGAUCUGUAAUAGCUUAGAGUGGACAUGUAAUAGUAAAGAGAUGUAAUAGUUGUUGCUUGACCUAGACCUAGUGAUGUAUGUUGUGUACAUGAUCUGUAUAUGUAUAUAUGUUUUCCUGUAUGUGAAAACCAGGCUUAACAGGUAUGAGUUACCCAUCUAGAGCAAGCUCUAGUCAGGGAUACAGAGUACAGAGUACAUGAGUACAGAGUACAGAGAUAGUGCAUGCACAGGUUGAGCCUUGGUUCAGACACGAGUUUUAUUUUCACAUAAAACGUAUGAUCAUGUAUGAGGUUUACAGGUACACAGAGAAUAUAGCAGGCUUGCUACG